GGAUGCCGGCGGUCUCUGCUGAAGAGAGAAGAUGGCGCUUGACGGACCAGAGCAGAUGGAGCUGGAGGAGGGGAAGGCAGGCAGCGGACUCCGCCAAUAUUAUCUGUCCAAGAUUGAAGAACUCCAGGUGAGGACGGACUCCAGAGGGAGCUAGGAAGGGGGAUGACGGGGGAUGGAAACGGACUUCCACAAAUCCAUCUAAUUCCACUGGGAGUGCAGUGGAAGAGGCUGCUGCUUCUCCUUUCUUGUUUGUUUCUUAGCUAGUAGGGUGUGUGUAUCAGAAGUAAGCAAUCUCUUGUUCUCCUCCAGUGCCAUCUCUUUGAGGGUCUUAGUGUUCACAGUUUGUUACACAUCUUCAAGAGUCAAAUCUUAAUAGUAAAGGUACCUCUAGUCAAAGGUCAACCCUUUUGGAAGAAGCCCGAAUGAAAAGGAUUCUUAUAAAAGGGAAACAUAAGCUCAGAAGUUGAAAUUUAUCACCAAGAGGUUGGGUGAGGGUGAAGUGAGAAUGUGAGGAAGGGCAUCAUUGAGGCAUCUGGACAAUGCUAAUUCCAUAGAGACUGAAUGAAAGAAAUUGGGCAACCCAGAGCCCUAGCCUAAAGCGCUAAACCAUAGAAAAAAGACCGUUUAUGUUGUUAAUCAAAUAUUUGUGUUACCAGUAAGGCUUCCAGCAGUAAAGUAUGGCUUCCAGUAGUAAGCCUUACAGACAACAUAAACAGUAGGCUGUUAGUGUUAGUGUUACGUUACAGUGUUACAGUAGGCUGUUAGUAGUUUAACUUUGGACAGGUCCAUGGAUUUUCAAUUUCACCCUAACCCCCUGCGUUGUUCAAGUGUCAACUGUAAUAUAAAUUGGAUGGGGGAAAGCCACAAAGGACAAUUCUGAAUUCCAAGUGCAUUUGCAGGUAUUAUGUUUAGUUUACCAUUUUUGAAUGCUUUUUCAUGUAUUUUUAUUCGUUCACCUUAGUAGUCUUGAAGCAGGGUAGCUGAUGCUAUACCCAUGUGCCCUUUGGUAACAGAUCUAGAUUUUUAAAAAUAGAUUGUCUUACCUUUACUUUGCUUUUGAUUGACAGCGGCUGGGCUAGAACUCAGGCUUCUCACCUAACAAUCUUUCCACCAGGUGAUGUUGCCUUCCUGCAAGAAAUUUGGUGUUACAUGAGCCAGCUGUAACUUUUGUCCAUUAGAUUCUGUUAUUCCUGGACCAGUAUUGGACAAGCAGCCUUCUUUGAUGGCUGCUGUAAGCUCCAGAGGGACUCUUGGAGGACAGGGCAGGGUCAUUAGGAUCAUACUGGAGAAUGUGAAACAACACGCAGAUGCCCUGUGCCCUUCCCUCAGCUCGUUCAGACCUGUGAGGUCUUGGCCAAGAUCCUACCUCCUCCUGUCUCCUGCCCUUGAGUAAUGGAAUUUGUCUCUUGUCCACCACAGCUGAUUGUGAAUGAUAAGAGCCAAAACCUCCGGAGGCUGCAGGCACAGAGGAAUGAACUAAAUGCUAAAGUUCGCCUACUACGGGAGGAGCUACAGCUGCUGCAGGAGCAGGGCUCCUAUGUGGGGGAAGUAGUCCGGGCCAUGGAUAAGAAGAAAGUGUUGGUCAAGGUACAUCCUGAAGGUAAAUUUGUUGUAGACGUGGACAAAAACAUUGACAUCAAUGAUGUGACACCCAAUUGCCGGGUGGCUCUAAGGAAUGACAGCUACACUCUGCACAAGAUCCUGCCCAACAAAGUAGACCCAUUAGUGUCACUGAUGAUGGUGGAGAAAGUACCAGAUUCAACUUACGAGAUGAUUGGUGGACUGGACAAACAGAUCAAGGAGAUCAAAGAAGUGAUCGAGCUGCCUGUUAAGCAUCCUGAGCUCUUCGAAGCACUGGGCAUUGCUCAGCCCAAGGGAGUGCUGCUGUAUGGACCUCCAGGCACUGGGAAGACACUGUUGGCCCGGGCUGUGGCUCAUCAUACGGACUGUACCUUUAUUCGUGUCUCUGGCUCUGAAUUGGUACAGAAAUUCAUAGGGGAAGGGGCAAGAAUGGUGAGGGAGCUGUUUGUCAUGGCACGGGAACAUGCUCCGUCUAUCAUCUUCAUGGACGAAAUCGACUCCAUCGGCUCCUCGCGGCUGGAGGGGGGUUCUGGAGGGGACAGUGAAGUGCAGCGCACGAUGCUGGAGUUGCUCAACCAGCUCGACGGCUUUGAGGCCACCAAGAACAUCAAGGUUAUCAUGGCUACUAAUAGGAUUGAUAUCCUGGACUCGGCACUGCUUCGCCCAGGGCGCAUUGACAGAAAAAUUGAAUUCCCACCCCCCAAUGAGGAGGUUUGUGAUGGGCACUGUGCAAAGUGGCUCUGACUGUGGGGGUGGGGUGUGGGGCUCAGGCCUUUCCUUGCCAUCUCCAGGCCCGGCUGGACAUUUUGAAGAUUCAUUCUCGGAAGAUGAACCUGACCCGGGGGAUCAACCUGAGAAAAAUUGCUGAACUCAUGCCAGGAGCAUCAGGGGCUGAAGUGAAGGGCGUGUGCACAGAAGCUGGCAUGUAUGCCCUGCGAGAACGGCGAGUCCAUGUCACUCAGGAGGACUUUGAGAUGGCAGUAGCCAAGGUCAUGCAGAAGGACAGUGAGAAAAACAUGUCCAUCAAGAAAUUAUGGAAGUGAGUGGACAGCCUUUGUGUGUAUCUCUCCAAUAAAGCUCUGUGGGCCAAGUC
Molecule: small RNA, 2674 nt
Filed under: Pongo abelii (Sumatran orangutan)
Lineage: Eukaryota; Metazoa; Chordata; Mammalia; Primates; Hominidae
Description: retained intron
Source: RNAcentral